RNAcentral lists this ribosomal RNA (492 nucleotides) under uncultured bacterium. RNAcentral's name for it is "partial 16S ribosomal RNA". It matches the Rfam family "Bacterial small subunit ribosomal RNA", at positions 29 to 507 of the family's 1533-position model. The record is from RNAcentral.
AGUGAACGCUGGCGGUAGGCCUAACACAUGCAAGUCGAACGGCAGCACAGUAAGAGCUUGCUCUUACGGGUGGCGAGUGGCGGACGGGUGAGGAAUACAUCGGAAUCUACUUUUUCGUGGGGGAUAACGUAGGGAAACUUACGCUAAUACCGCAUACGACCUACGGGUGAAAGCAGGGGAUCUUCGGACCCUGCGCGAUUGAAUGAGCCGAUGUCGGAUUAGCUAGUUGGCGGGGUAAAGGCCCACCAAGGCGACGAUCCGUAGCUGGUCUGAGAGGAUGAUCAGCCACACUGGAACUGAGACACGGUCCAGACUCCUACGGGAGGCAGCAGUGGGGAAUAUUGGACAAUGGGCGCAAACCUGAUCCAGCCAUACCGCGUGGGUGAAGAAGGCCUUCGGGUUGUAAAGCCCUUUUGUUGGGAAAGAAAAGCAGCAGGUUAAUACCCCGCUGUUCUGACGGUACCCAAAGAAUAAGCACCGGCUAACUUCGUG